GGUUACUGCUAUCGGAGUUCGACUAAGCCAUGCGAGUUGAGAGGGUUCGGCCCUCGGCGAACUGCUCAGUAACACGUGGAUAACCUGCCCUUGGGAUGGGAAUAACCCCGGGAAACUGGGGAUAAUGCCCGAUAUGUUACCUAUGCUGGAAUGCUUGGUAGCUUAAAGCUCCGGCGCCCAAGGAUGGGUCUGCGGCGGAUUAGGUUGUCGCCGGUGUAACGUACCGACGAGCCGAUAAUCCGUACGGGUUGUGAGAGCAAGAGCCCGGAGAUGGAUUCUGAGACACGAAUCCAGGCCCUACGGGGCGCAGCAGGCGCGUAAACUUUACAAUGCAGGAAACUGCGAUAAGGGAACUCCGAGUGUCUGGGACCUUCUCAGACUGUUCGGAUACCUAAAUAGUAUCUGAUAGUAAGGGCCGGGCAAGACCGGUGCCAGCCGCCGCGGUAACACCGGCGGCCCGAGUGGUAACCAAUAUUAUUGAGCUUAAAGCGCCCGUAGCCGGCUUGGCAAGUCCCUUGGGAAAUCUGACGGCUUAACUGUCAGGCGUCCAGGGGAUACUACUAGGCUUGGGACUGGGAGAGGUAGGAGGUACUUCAGGGGUAGGGGUGAAAUCCUGUAAUCCUUGGGGGACCACCGGUGGCGAAGGCGUCCUACCAGAACGGCUCCGACGGUGAGGGACGAAAGCUAGGGGCACGAACCGGAUUAGAUACCCGGGUAGUCCUAGCCGUAAACGAUGCGGGCUAGGUGUCACAGUAGCCAUGUGCUGCUGUGGUGCCGCAGGGAAACCGUGAAGCCUGCCGCUUGGGAAGUACGUCCGCAAGGAUGAAACU
This 830-nucleotide ribosomal RNA is filed under the name uncultured archaeon. Its description in RNAcentral is "bacterial SSU rRNA". It matches the Rfam family "Archaeal small subunit ribosomal RNA", at positions 21 to 856 of the family's 1478-position model. The record is from RNAcentral.